UACGUAGGGGGCAAGCGUUAUCCGGAUUCACUGGGUGUAAAGGGAGCGUAGACGGCCAUGCAAGCCUGGAGUGAAAGCCCGGGGCCCAACCCCGGGACUGCUCUGGGAACUGUGUGGCUGGAGUGCGGGAGGGGCAGGCGGAAUUCCUGGUGUAGCGGUGAAAUGCGUAGAUAUCAGGAGGAACACCGGUGACGAAAGCGGCUCUCUGGCCUGUAACUGACACUGAGGCUCGAAAGCGUGGGGAGCAAACAGG
Molecule: ribosomal RNA, 253 nt
Filed under: uncultured bacterium
Lineage: Bacteria
Description: partial 16S ribosomal RNA
Rfam family: Bacterial small subunit ribosomal RNA
Source: RNAcentral